This 497-nucleotide ribosomal RNA is filed under the name uncultured bacterium. Its description in RNAcentral is "partial 16S ribosomal RNA". It matches the Rfam family "Bacterial small subunit ribosomal RNA", at positions 28 to 507 of the family's 1533-position model. The record is from RNAcentral.
GAUGAACGCUGGCGGCGUGCCUAAUACAUGCAAGUCGAGCGAACGGACGAGUAGCUUGCUUCUCUGAUGUUAGCGGCGGACGGGUGAGUAACACGUGGAUAACCUACCUAUAAGACUGGGAUAACUUCGGGAAACCGUAGCUAAUACCGGAUAAUAUUUUGAACCGCAUGGUUACAAACUGAAAGACGGUCUUGCUGUCACUUAUAGAUGGAUCCGCGCUGCAUUAGCUAGUUGGUAAGGUAACGGCUUACCAAGGCAACGAUGCAUAGCCGACCUGAGAGGGUGAUCAGCCACACUGGAACUGAGACACGGUCCAGACUCCUACGGGAGGCAGCAGUAGGGAAUCUUCCGCAAUGGGCGAAAGCCUGACGGAGCAACGCCGCGUGAGUGAUGAAGGUCUUCGGAUCGUAAAACUCUGUUAUUAGGGAAGAACAUAUGUGUAAGUAACUGUGCACAUCUUGACGGUACCUAAUCAGAAAGCCACGGCUAACUACGUG